Molecule: non-coding RNA, 74 nt
Organism: Pteropus alecto (black flying fox)
Lineage: Eukaryota; Metazoa; Chordata; Mammalia; Chiroptera; Pteropodidae
Source: Rfam
GGCUCCAUAGUGUAGUGGUUAGCAUGUCUGCUUUACAGGCAGAAGGUCCUGGGUUUGCACCCCAGGUGGCACCA